CUGGUUGAUUACAUGUCGUCACCAAAGAUGCCAAUCAUUAUGAUUUUAAGCCAAAAACUAAGCUAUUUCAGUUGACGGGACAUUUGUAUUUGUCAUUUUUUUCUAAGAUUACUCAUAUGUGUAAGAAAUAAUGGUGAGUAGGUCAUUUACACAGAAGUGUCCCAAAGCACACUCCAGUGAGACUAACUGAGAGGGGGCGGUCGGGUAGCCUAGUCGUUAAAGCAUUCGCUCAUCAUGCCAAGGACCUGGCUCCGAUUCCCCACAUGGGUACAAUGUGUGAAGCCCAUUUCUGGUUUCCUCCACAGUGAUAUUUCUGAAAUACUGUUAAAAUUUGCGUAAAACUACAUUGACUGACUCACUCACUAAAUGAGAGCCAUACUUUAUAUUUAUAUCAUGCUAAAAUAUCCAUUACUCAGCAAUUAUUGACGUUACACACUCAAGUCAAGUUCAUCAUUGGAUCUUUGCAGGUUCAGAAGGGAGUGAGUGAGUUGGUUUUACGCCGCUUUUAGCAAUAUUCCAGCAAUAUCACGGUGGGGGAACACCAGAAAUGGGCUUCACGCAUUGUACCCAUGUGGGGAAUCGAUUUCAGGGCUUCGGCAUGAGGAGCGAACGCUUUAACCACUAGGCUACCCCACCGCCCCUUCAGACAGGGAACAACAGGUACUGUUAACCUCGCCUGAACAACUGAACAAAACUACUAAAAUCUUAUUGAUUACUUCUAAGUUCCGCAGUUUGGCAUCUCUGCAUCACACCCACCAGCAUGGAUAGUUGCUCAUGACAUCAACCACUGGUUUAUCAGAGUUGCCUUAUUCCUGCUGAUUCAAACAGCUGUAAUAUUGCUGAUCUCAGCACAUGGCUCUGUUAGUCUCAUGAUUAGAUGAGGGGCGUCAGUCAUGAUUAGAUGAUUUCAAAAGUUGGUUCAUUUGUCAUUGUUCAAGUUAGAUCUCAAAAAGUCUGGAUCUUAAAAGUAAUCUGUAUUUCAUGUAUAAGCUGUUCCUAGCUUGAUUUUCAUUGUUAUAUAGGUACAGUGGUUAUUCUGAUAUUCACUUCAUGCACCUUAUCCUAUUUGGUGUUAUGGUCCUUAUGUUUAGAAAAAGAUGUGUAUUGAAUAUAUAUCUGUAUGUAUAAAUAAAGCUUCAAUUUGA
Haliotis rubra (blacklip abalone) is the source of this 1145-nucleotide long non-coding RNA. RefSeq lists it as uncharacterized. NCBI's taxonomy places the organism in Eukaryota, Metazoa, Mollusca, Gastropoda, Lepetellida, Haliotidae. The transcript has 2 exons. The record is from RefSeq and is a predicted model, not a curated record.